UGGAGCAUGUGGUUAAUUCGAAGCAACGCGAAGAACCUUACCAGGCCUUGACAUCCCGGAGACCCUUAGGAAACUAGGGGGUGCUUCCAUCUGGAAGAAUCUGGAGACAGGUGCUGCAUGGCUGUCGUCAGCUCGUGUCGUGAGAUGUUGGGUUAAGUCCCGCAACGAGCGCAACCCUUGCCUUUAGUUGCCAGCAGUUCGGCUGGGCACUCUAAAGGGACUGCCGGUGUUAAACCGGAGGAAGGUGGGGAUGACGUCAAGUCCUCAUGGCCUUUAUGACCAGGGCUACACACGUACUACAAUGGCCGAUACAAAGGGCAGCGACACUGCGAGGUGAAGCCAAUCCCGUAAAAUCGGUCUCAGUCCGGAUUGGAGUCUGCAACUCGACUCCAUGAAGUUGGAAUCGCUAGUAAUCGUGGAUCAGCAUGCCACGGUGAAUACGUUCCCGGGCCUU
This 454-nucleotide ribosomal RNA is filed under the name uncultured Desulfobulbus sp. Its description in RNAcentral is "bacterial SSU rRNA". It matches the Rfam family "Bacterial small subunit ribosomal RNA", at positions 933 to 1382 of the family's 1533-position model. Lineage: Bacteria; Pseudomonadati; Thermodesulfobacteriota; Desulfobulbia; Desulfobulbales; Desulfobulbaceae. The record is from RNAcentral.